CCUACGGGAGGCAGCAGUGGGGAAUAUUGGACAAUGGGGGCAACCCUGAUCCAGCCAUGCCGCGUGUGUGAAGAAGGCCUUCGGGUUGUAAAGCACUUUCAGUGAGGAAGAACGCCUGGUGUAUAAUACCCAGCAGCCAAGACAUACCUCACAGAAGAAGCACCGGCUAACUCCGUGCCAGCAGCCGCGGUAAUACGGAGGGUGCGAGCGUUAAUCGGAAUUACUGGGCGUAAAGCGCGCGUAGGUGGCUUGAUAAGCCGGUUGUGAAAGCCCCGGGCUCAACCUGGGAACGGCAUCCGGAACUGUCAAGCUAGAGUGCAGGAGAGGAAGGUAGAAUUCCCGGUGUAGCGGUGAAAUGCGUAGAGAUCGGGAGGAAUACCAGUGGCGAAGGCGGCCUUCUGGACUGACACUGACACUGAGGUGCGAAAGCGUGGGUAGCAAACAGGAUUAGAUACCCGGGUAGUC
Molecule: ribosomal RNA, 465 nt
Filed under: Vreelandella stevensii
Lineage: Bacteria; Pseudomonadati; Pseudomonadota; Gammaproteobacteria; Oceanospirillales; Halomonadaceae
Description: partial 16S ribosomal RNA
Rfam family: Bacterial small subunit ribosomal RNA
Source: RNAcentral